CAAGCUGAAUCGCUCAUCAAAUGGAAGGACGACUGGUCUUCAUCACCUUCGCUACUCAAUUCAUGGUCCCUCACCAACCUCAACAGCCUCUGCAACUGGACUGCCAUUUCCUGCUCCAAAACCAGAACGGUCUCCAAAAUAGACCUCUCCAAUAUGUACAUUAUCGGAUCACUGUCCCUUUUCGACUUUCCCUUAUUUCCAAAUCUCACCCACUUCAAUCUAAAUGGCAACAAUUUCCUAGGGCGUAUACCGUAUGCCAUUGGAAAUCUCUCCAGGCUCACAUCUUUGGACUUGGGCAACAACUUGUUUGAUCAACAAAUUCCAUCUGAAUUUACAGGCAUGCCUUCAUUGACGUUCCUCGACUUGUCUCAAAAUAAUUUGUUUGGCCAAAUUCCAACUUCGAUUGGCCAACUUAGAAAGCUUCAGUACCUUGAUCUUUCAUACAACUCCUUAAACUCUUCUAUCCCUCUCUCUGUAGGCCAACUCAGGGAGCUCCAGUACCUUGAUCUUUCAUACAACUCCUUAAACUCUUCUAUCCCUGUCUCUAUAGGCCAACUCAGGGAGCUCCAGUACCUUGAUCUUUCAUACAACUCCUUAAACUCUUCUAUCCCUUCUGAGCUUGGUCUUUGUACAAGCCUCACGCACUUGUACCUGGCUUCCAAUAAACUCAACGGGGAACUGCCUCUGUCCUUGUUCAAUCUGAACAACCUUGUCGAAUUGGGUUUGGAUAAUAAUCUAUUUACUGGUCAAAUCCUUCCUUCUCUGGUCUUCAAUUGGACUAAAAUGGUCUCUUUGCAACUUCAGUCCAAUGAACUCAGUGGGGAGAUUCCUCAGAAUCUAGGCAAUUUAUCUCAGCUUCAGCUGCUCGAUUUGUCACACAACCAUCUUUCAGGGCAAAUCCCACCAUUUGUCAACGUGUUAUCUCUUCCUGACUUUGAUUUUUCUUAUAACAACUUGACUGGCCUAAUCCCAUACAACUUCCAAUGGGCACCAGCAAAUGCUUUUGCUGGAAACUCUGGCUUGUGUGGGUAUGUACAAGGACUAGACAGUAUAUCAACUUGCCCCAACAGAAAUUCCGCAAAGAAUAACAAAAGAGUUCUAAUUGGUGUCCUUGUACCUGUUUGUGGUUUAUUAAUGGUUACAAUUGUCAUUGGUCUUAUGUUCCGUAAAAAAUCCAGUCUCGUUUUGAACAAAGUCAACACUUCUGAAAACUUUGAGAGUUUGGAGUCAAUGAUAUUGCAAGAGGAAGUAAAGUUUACGUUUGCGGAAGUUGUGAAGGCUGUAGAUGACUUUCAUGAGAAGUACUGCAUUGGGACAGGAGGGUUUGGAAGGGUUUACAAGGCAGAGUUGCAAUCAGGCCAAGUUGUUGCAGUUAAAAGGCUUAACAUGUCAGACUCUAAUGAUAUUCCAGCAAUUAAUCUCCAUAGCUUUCAGAAUGAAAUCCGAACUUUGACAAGCAUCCGGCACCGGAACAUCAUAAGGCUCUAUGGCUUCUGUUCAAGAAGGGGGGGGUUGCAUAUUCCUGCUUUAUGAAUACUUAGAGAGAGGAAGCCUGGGAAAAACUUUGUAUGGAGUUGAAGGUGUUAAUGAACUUGGUUGGGCUACUAGAGUCAAAAUUGUGCAAGGACUUGCUCAUGCACUUUCUUACUUGCACCAUGAUUGCUCUCCACCAAUUGUGCACCGUGACAUAACCGUCAAUAAUGUAUUGCUUGAGUCUAAUUUCGAGGUUCGUCUCUCAGAUUUCGGAAUAGCCAGGUUAUUGAGUACUGAUUCAUCCAACUGGACAGAUAUUGCUGGUUCGUUUGGCUACAUAGCACCAGGUAAUGUAAACUUAAUUUGUACAUUUAUGAUUCAUCUUUUUGCUUAUUGGGAUAUGUUUUAAGGUAGCCAAUUGUGUUUUUAUUGAUGUGUAGAGCUUGCAUACACUAUGCGAGUCACGGAUAAAUGUGAUGUAUAUAGCUUUGGAGUGGUGGCGCUCGAAGUCAUGAUGGGAAGGCACCCAGGGGAUAUGCUAGAGUCCCAGCUACAAGAAUCAUCAAAAUCAAGGAGGGACAAUGUAGAAUUGCUCCUGAAAGAUUUGUUAGACCAAAGGUUGGAGCCGCCAACCAAUGAAUCUGCAAAGGCAGUGGUGCUUGUGGUGACAAUGGCCUUGGCCUGUAUACGAACGCGUCCUGCGUCCAGACCCACGAUGUUAUUUGUGGCACAAAAACUCUCGGCUCAAACCCUGCCUUGCCUUCCCGAACCAUUUGGUAUGUUGACAAUCAACAAGCUAAUGGCACUAUAAAAAAUAAAACAAAAAAAGAAGACAAGGGCGAAUAGCUCAAACUUCCCUUUUGUAUUCCUACCACACGCAAUUCCAUCUAAUUUCUCAUGUAAUAGAUAUUCAAUACCGUAAUUACUCAUCUGUAUUAUUUGUCGAAUGCGGAUUAAUGUGUGAUGAACUUUCUUAAUCGUAAUUGCAUUAAACCGAUAAUCCAUAAUGUGUCAAAAUAACUCCACAAUUAAUAAAAAGAAAAUUGAAUUAUGGAUUUGUGUCCUUCCUCUAGUUCAAAGAGCUACCCUAAAAAAUUGAACCUACAUGGAUAAUUUUCACCCUGGAUUACUUUGAAAGCAAACACAUAUGGAACUACAGGAUGCAAUCUGACCUUGCAUCUUUGAACCAUGUCGCGCAUCGAAGUACAUUUGAUCUUCCAGGCAUUCUUAAACUUUUCCGCUAUGUCGAAUAUAGGUUUGUGCCUUUCCUCUCUAAAUCUGGCAACAGCCAGAACUGCUUUCACAUUCACACUACAGCACAAUAGAAGACACUUUGACACGACAAUAUGUUAAAUUAGCAAAUGGGGAAGUGGUGGAAUAACACCGUAGUAUUGUGAGCAAGUCUCGGGUGUCAAGGCCACGGGGGAGGUCCCUGUGGCUUUGGAACCACCGACAUAAUGAUAAACAAGCGUGGCUACUGUGCCUCAAUCCAACACGGACCAGGACAGCAAAUCUAUAGCUUCUGUGCGUUAAACCAAAUCCCAUCAGGAGUUGUUCACUUCUCAUAGUCUUUGAAUUAUAAUUGUAACUCUUUUAGUUUAAUCGUUGUCCUACACGGAUUCAUCAAACCAAAAGCACAUAUGGAUUGGAGACAUGGGGAGACAGUAUGGUAUCUGCUUACUGGUUGACUUGCUUUAAACGAUUUUUGAGCUGAAAAUUUCUCGCAAAACUAAUAAACUAGAACAGAGAAUGCAGCAAAUAAGUUGACUCUGCAGAAGUUGCUGAAAGAGCAAAAAUGGCUGGAUGAGAUGUGACCCUUAUCGCGUUGGACUUCAAUUGUCAGGUGAUACUUUCAGGCCAUGCUUUGCCUUUAAACCGACUGCAUAUGAUUGUUAAAAGACUGACCAAGACUGUUAUAAGAGUCCAGAUUUUCACUUUGUGGUUCAUUCACCUACGCAAUGAGAAACGUUCUACAAUCGAACUAACAAAGAGGCGCAUGCAGUGAGAAAUCAUCUUCGUUGAAUUCUGAAUCAACUCCCUCGUGUCCAACAAACUCAGCAAGGCCCAUCAACAUCAACUGGUUCACUGACAUGAACUUUUCCAUUUUCGGGUUCUACAGCAUAAUAUUUGGCAUCUAAAGGUACAAUUUUCCCACAACCUUUGGUUGCCCUGCUCAACCUUGAAGGCAAAGAAUUAGUCCGCCAGACACCCCUUGUAUUUUUGCUUCAAUUUCAUAAUCUUCGAUGCUGCUGAUCCUGAGCUGAAACUAGUCUUACCCCCUGCCCUUAUUCUGUUGAGAAUAUCGCGCUUAAGAAUGGAAAAAACAAGAACAAACUCCGGAAAUCAAAAAACAAAUAACCAAAAUAAAUAACACCAAGAAUUUACAUGGUUCAGCAAUAUGUGCCUACGUCCACGUGACAGCAAAAACAAUCCUUCACUAUAUCAAUAAUGAGUACAACCAAUAAUCUUGCCAAAUCUCUAGAACUAGAACUUGACGAAAAACCUGAAAGAACAAGAACAAGAAAUACACUCUCUUUUCUUUUCUCUCGCACACACAAUAUUCUCUCACUCUAAUCUCUUGAGUGGUAUACAAUUUAUUGUUUUGCUCCCUUCUCAAAUCUAGUAUAAUAGCCCCUUUAUAUAGACAUAAUAAAGGUCUUCUUUAAUAAGGAUUAUUAAUCCUAAUUGGAAUCUAGUUAUGAAUCCUACUCCAAUUGAGAAACUAACUCCAAUUGGGUAAACAACUCCAAUUGGGAAAACAAUUUAAUCCUCUAAGACUAUUAAUUCCCAAUAGACUUAGGACAACUAAUCAUGGGCUGGAAAAAAACCCAACAUCUUCGACAUCCAUGUUCCUAUCAUGGUGUUUUGACGGAAUGGAAUCCGGUGGAGUUCCAGAAGCUGUUAUACAUAUACCCUUCCGGGGUGACAUGGAAAAGUAAUUCCAGGUCUCUUCUGAAUUCCAAUCAGUUUUCCACUUAAAUGGCCAGAAAAGCAGUUCAUCAGUAGUGGUUAGAUCUUCCAAAACUUCAGCCUCAGAAGCAUGUUCUGAUGAAAAAUCACACCCAGAUGAUAUUUCAGUUUGUUCUUCACUGGGUGUAGAAACACUAGAAUUAGAUCACUGAAAGUCAUGCCUCCAACAACUACUUUUGUAAGAUUGGGCUGGGAAAAUCAGACAGAAAACAAUCCGACCUUGAAUCUGUACCUGGUGUCAGUUUGUAAUCAUCUCCAUCAAGAUUCAACAACGAAAAGCGGCAACCUAUUCUCUCAAAAUCUAGAGGAGCUAAAGAGAAACCACAACUUGGGGAUCCUUCAGAGGAAUUUCCACAAGAAGACUCAGCACCCUCAGAAGAGCAUGCAAAAUACCUCUUGCAUUCUCAUCCUCUGAACAUUUGUGUAAAUUCUUGUUUACAUAGAUCAACAUCUUCUUCUGUAGAUUCGAAAAUAGCAGCCGCAGCCUCAGCCUUCUGGUUGUUAUCGCAUAAAAAACCUGUUUCCGUCACACAUAAUCUCACGUGUUUGUUUUGAGCACUAAUUGAUCUUGGUCUAAAACACUCACCUCCUCUACGGUCAAUGCUACACUUGUUCAUUGUUCAUUGGUGACAAAGAAGAAACCCUCUUCAUAAAAUCACAACAGCCGUCUGUUCCAUUGAAUUUCAUUUGAUGGGAGUCUCGAUAACACAAAAUAAAGGCCAAGACAACCGCCAACUGCAGGAAACAAUAACAAAAAAUGAAAAUUAAACAAGAGUGGAGGCAACGUGAAGAAAGCCUACCAAGACGAGCAAACACAGAAGAUUUCAACUCUGAAUUUUUUAUGUAUAAUUACACACCACAUAGAGCAGCCAGCAAAGGCGGCAGGUACAAGUCAACGCGAUGUCGAUGAAGGAACAAAAUAUAUAAUUUAAACAUAGAUUGUCAAAACCGAAAUCCAACUGCUUAUAUCGUAAGGAUAGAACAAGUCAACAAGUCCCUUGCAUUCAACUUUGGGGGGAAUGAAAUGUAAGUUAACUCAACCAAAAUGCAGCUCUUAAGCAAAACAUUCACACUCAUUGAGACCAGUAUGCCAAAUAAGUCAUGGGCAAAAGUUGAUCAAAUUUUCAAGUUAACUAAUAGAAACCGAAAUCCAAAUAAUGGGGGAGGGAGAUUCAAACUUAGGGUCUCCUCCAACACCGGGAGGAGCAGUAUUGCUAGACUAAUUGUUUUAAUUAGUUGAAAUUCAGAAAUGUUUUAAUUAUAUUUAGGUUGAUUUUAUCACAGAUUUGUACUCUUAAUGAUGUUUUCAGUAUCUGAUGUAAUUCCUUUUUUCUUAUUUUUUAUCCUUAUUUCUCUUUCUUUUGCUUGGUGUCCAUGCAAAUUGUUUUAUGUGAUUUUAUCUUUUAGGUUUUUAGGUGUUCUUUAGACAAUCGUGUCAUGAUUCAUUUACAUUUAUGUUGUGUGUUUACAAAAAUAUAUAGGAUAUAUUAUUUCUGCUACAAUCAAAUUGACUGUUUUAUCUGCAAACCAUAGGAAACUGUUAGAGUUACGUUGCUUUCCCUUGUCUAAAAAAAUACAUCUGGAGGAGUGCUAGAUUGACCUUUUUGUUCAUGUUGAGGUAAAACAAUGAAAUAAUUUUCUAAUAUAAAAAAAUACACCUGGAGGAGUGCUAGAUUUGUUGUGCUAGGAUAGCACCAAACAUUUUUGGAACCAACUCAAGCUAAUCCACAGGAAAUUUAUCAAAUGAAAAUGCAAGAACAAAAUAUUAAAGAAAACCAAGAUUUUAACGAGGUUCCUCAACAGUCAGUGUAACUGGAGUACGUCCUCGGAGCAGUAGGAGCUCACCCAAUAAUCCACUAUCAACCAAAUGAGAGUUUACAAAGUGUUGGCAAUCUCACAACCCAAAUAACCCAAUACACCCAAUAGCUCUCACACACCACAGAAACAAAUAGAGAAAGAAAUAUAAUGAAUAAUUUCUUCUCUAUACAUGUAGCUCAAAGCUAUUACAACAUAACUAUGAUGGAUGAUUGCUAACAAAAAAGAAGAGCACCUUCUUCUUUUCUGCUCUCAGUUUUCUGCUCUCUGCAGCUCUCUUUGCUCUCUCAAAGAUGGGCUACUAAAACUGAAAAAAUGGUGCACACUUCAUCUCUCUUUCUCACUUCCGUAUAUUCACCUUCAUCCAUCCUCAACACCCAAUAAACAAAACCAAAGUAAAAACAUAAUGAUUACUUUACAAACAUCAUCAUGACUUUCCUUUUUUCUUUUCAAUAAACAUAAUCAUUUGUCUUGUUUUUUUCUUUUCCUUUUUUUAAUAGCCGAAAGUUGUUUGUUUGGCCAUAAUUCAACAAUCUCCACUUUGGCCAAAUUCCGAAAACACCAUGAUAAGCCAACCAACACAAUCAACACAAAAAUCACUCCCAAACACUAGCAAGAGAACAACUCAUGCCGAGCCAAAUGCUCCAAAACUCCUACUGCUCAACGCCUUCUUUAUAUAGGCAUAAUGUGAGCCAAGUUCAAACAGUGAACAAACUUGGCUACACCAACAACCUUAGUCAACAUAUCAGCGGGGUUGUCUUUAGUUGGAAUCUUCUGGAGAAUGAUUUCCCCUUCACCAACAAUUUCACGAACAAAGUGAUAACGCACAUCUAUGUGCUUGGUCCUCGCAUGAUGAACCUGAUACUUAGCCAAAUAAAUGGCACUCUGACUAUCACAAUGUACCUCCACCUGCUUCUGAUCAACCCCCAAAUCUCUAAUCAGCCCAUGUAUCCAAAUGGCCUCCUUUAUAGCUUCAACAACUGCCAUAUAUUCAGCCUAUGUAGUAGACAAGGCAACAGACGACUGCAAAAUGGACCUCCAACAAACUGGUCCUUUAGCCAUAGUAAACACAUAGCCUGUAGUAGAUUUCCUUCCAUCCAGAUCACCUGCAUAAUCUGAAUCAACAUAACCAAUUGCAAAAUGACCAAUACCAGAGUCAUCCCUUUCAAAGCAUAAACCAACAUCUCGAGUACCAUGGAGAUAUCUCAAUAUCCACUUAGCUGCUUGCCAAUGCUCUUUACCUGGAUUAUGCAUAUAUCGACUCACCAUGCCAACUGCAUGAGCAAUAUCCGGUUUAGAGCAUACCAUUGCAUACAUCAAACUACCAACCAAAUUUGCAUAUGGUGCAUUUUUCAUUUGCAGCUUCUCUUUAUCAUUUUUAGGACAUUGUAGAGAACUCAAUUUAAAAUGAGGAGCCAAAGGGGUACUAACCGGUUUGGUUGAAUCAUGAACUCCAAACUUCCGAAUCAACUUCUCAAGGUAUUGUCUUUGAUUCAAACUGACGAAACCUUUUGCUCUAUCUCUAGUGAUCUCCAUGCCAAGGAUCUUCUUCGCUUCAUCAAGAUCCUUCAUCUCAAACUCAUUCUUCAUUUGCUUCUUCAAUUUCUCAAUCUCUUCGACAUUCUUUGAGGCAAUCAACAUAUCAUUAACAUAUAUCAAUAAAUAAAUGAAAGACCCAUCUUGCAACUUCUUGAAGUACACACAAUGAUCAUAUUGACUUCUAGAAUAAUUUUUGGCCUCUCAUAAAUUUAUCAAACCUCAAAUACCAUUGCCUUGGAGAUUGCUUCAAGCCAUAAAGUGAUUUCUUCAAUUUGCAAAACAAAUUUUCCUUCCCUUUCACUAUAUACCCAUCCGGUUGACACAUAUAGAUCUCUUCAUUCAAAUCACCAUGUAGGAAAGCCGUCUUCACAUCGAGUUGCACAAGCUCAAGAUCAUAUUGUGCAACAAGAGCUAACAUAAUACGAAUUGAGGAGUGCUUCACAACCGGAGAAAAGAUUUCAUUGUAGUCAAUGCCCUCCUUUUGUGCAUACCCUUUAGCAACUAAUCUUGCUUUAAAUCUCACAUUGCUUUUCUCAUCAGCAUCUUCCUUCUUGGCAUACACCCAUUUGCAACCGAUAGCUUUCUUGCCCUUAGGUAAUUUAGCUAACUCCCAAGUCUUGUUCUUCAAGAGAGAAUUCAUCUCAUCACCCAUGGCAUUGCACCACCUCUUCUUCUCCUCACUCUCAAUGGCUUCCUCGAAAUUAGAUGGAAUCUCAUCAGUGAUAAUAGGAAGAGCAAAAGAAACAUAGUCACUAUACCGAGCUGGCUUGGUAAUUUGUCUCUUUCCUCUAUUCUUGGCAAUAGACUCUUGAGGUGAAACUUGCUCUUCAACUUGAAUAGAAUCUUCAAGUUCAACUUCUUCAACAUCCUCAUGGUCUCCAACUUCUUCACUUGUAGUGGCUUCGACAUCAGCGAAAAUAGGAUUUGAAGUACCAGAGGCAACUUUCUCAAGCUCCACCUGUUGGACAUCUUUCACAUUCUUCUCAGAGUCUUUGAACAUACUUUCUUCAUCAAAUGUCACAUCUCUGCUGAUUACAAGUUUUUUCAUCUCUGGACACCACAACCUGUAACCUUUGACACCACUACUAAAACCAAGAAAGAUAGUCUUUUUGGCUCUAGCAUCAAGUUUAUUUUCAGUCACAUGAAAAUAAGUAGGUGAACCAAAAAUACGGAUAUAGUCAUAAUCAGAAGAAGGUUUUCCAGUCCAUACCUCCAUUGGUGUCUUACCCUGAACAACAGCUGAGGGUAAUCGGUUGAUGAUGUGACAUGCAUAAUUAACUGCUUCUGCCCAAAAUGACUUGCUUAAACCCGACUGAGACAACAUACAUCUAACCUUCUCUGCAACUCCAUUUGUUGUGGAGUUCCCCGAACACUGAAAUGUCUCACAAUUCCUUCCUCUUUGCAAACUUUAAAGAAAUGAUCGGAUGUGUAUUCACCACCAUUAUCCGAUCUCAAAAUCUUAAUCUUUCUCCCAGUCUGGUUCUCAACCAUUUUCUUCCAACCCAAGAAAAUGUUUAACACCUCACUCUUGUGCUUCAUAGUGUAGACCCAAGACCUUCUUGAAUAAUCAUCAACAAAGGUCACGAACCAAUGUCUAGCACUCAAAAAGGGAGUCUUUGUAGGACCCCAAACAUCCGAAUGCACAUAAUCAAGAAUGCCCUUCGUCUGAUGUACAGCAGUACCAAACUUCACUCUAGUUUGCUUCCCUAAGACACAAUGCUCGCAUAAAUCAAGCUUACAAGUCGUGGCACCUUUUAGAAGACCUUGUUUCACAAGCCCUUGUAGAGCUUUCUCACCGGCAUGGCCUAAUCUCAUAUGCCACAAUCUAGUAGUAUCUGAAUCAGAUGUGCCCAUAUUUUCAGAGACUACAGAUGCUUCACCUGUCACAGUGCUUCCCUGCAAUAAAUACAAAUGGCCACAUCUAGGAGCUUUCAUCACAACAAGUGCACCAUAAGUAACUUUCAAUGUCUGUCCAUCUGAAUGAAACCUGAAACCCUUGGAUUCCAAAGUACCCAAAGAAAUAAGAUUUUUCUUCAAAUUCGGUACAUACCGAACACCUGUCAACCCUUUAACCAUGCCAUCAUGCAACUUCAAACGAACUGUACCAAUCCCUUUUGUUGUGCAAGGAUUGUCAUCUCCCAUGAACACAACGCCACCAUCAAACUCUUUCAAGCUUGAAAACCAAUCCUUGUGAGGAGUCAUAUGAUGAGUACAACCCGUAUCCAGCACCCACUUAGUAGUACAAUCAAAUGAUGAGGAAGUGGUUAAAGCAAAAUCAGAAAAAUCUGUUUCAACCUCAGCAACAUUAGCUUUAGAACUUUCUUUGCCUUUGGUCUUCAACCUAGGACAAUCUUUCUUCCAAUGGCCCUUAUUAUGACAAAAGGCACAUUCAUCCAUUUCCAAAGUUUUUCUACCUUUAGAGUUUCCUCUAGGUCGAGACUGUGAUUUUUUCCUGCUAGAAGAUGAUCUCCUCUCCGAUGAUCUACCUCUAACAAAUAAAGCUUCAGAGGUACUAUCAUGAUUUUUAUCUCUAUGCCUCAUUUCAUAAUUCAUCAAGGCAUUUGACACAUCUUCAAAUUUCACAGUUUCUUUACCAUGCAUAAUAGUGGUAACAAAAUGCUCAUAAGAGUCCGACAAGGAAUUCAACAAUAUUAAGGCCUUAUCUUCAUCCUUAAUAUCCUCAUCUAAAUUUAACAAGUCGGCAAUCAACUUAUUAAAAGCAUCAAGGUGUCUAAUCAUUUUUGUACCUUCUUUGUAUUGGAAGCGGUAGAGCUUUUUCUUCAAGUGUAGCCAGUUCUCUGCACUCUUCGUCAUAUACUUGUCUUCCAAUUUUUGCCACAACACACUUGCUACUGUCUCCCACAUCACAAAAUACUUCUGAGUUUUUGCAAGGCACAACUGAAUUGAAGAGCAAGCCCACAAAUUUAAUUUUUCCCAUUCCGGCUUCGACAUAGUUUCCGACUUCUCUCCCAAAGCGGUAAGUAGAUCUUGUUGAGCUAACACAUCUUUGACCUCACAUUGCCACAUCCCGAAGUUGUUUGUGCCAUCAAACUUUUCCACUUUGAACUUUGCAUUUUGCACCGUAGUUCUUGCAAACCCGGAGCUGCUUCCAAAAGGAUUUUCAUCUUGCCCGUCUGACAUCUUUGGCAACUAGACAGUACCCAAGAGCAACCAGUGCUCUGGUACCAAUUGUUGUGCUAGGAUAGCACCAAACCUUUUUGGAACCAACUCAAGCUAACCCACAGGAAAUUUAUCAAAUGAAAAUGCAAGAACAAAAUAUUAAAGAAAACCAAGAUUUUAACGAGGUUCCUCAACAGUCAGUGUAACUGGAGUACGUCCUCGGAGCAGUAGAAGCUCACCCAAUAAUCCACUAUCAACCAAAUGGGAGUUUACAAAGUGUUGGCAAUCUCACAACCCAAAUUACCCAAUACACCCAAUAGCUCUCACACACCAUAGAAACAAAUAGAGAAAGAAAUAUAAUGAAUAAUUUCUUCUCUAUACAUGUAGCUCAAAGCUAUUACAACAAUAACUAUGAUGGAUGAUUGCUAACCAAAAAGAAGAGCACCUUCUUCUUCUUUUCUGCUCUCAGUUUUCUGCUCUCUGCAACUCUCUUUGCUCUCUCAAAGAUGGGCUACUAAAACUGAAUAAAUGGUGCACACUUCAUCUCUCUUUCUCACUUCCGUAUAUUCACCUUCAUCCAUCCUCAACACCCAAUAAACAAAACCAAAGUAAAAACAUAAUGAUUACUUUACAAACAUCAUCAUGACUUUCCUUUUUUCUUUUCAAUAAACAUAAUCAUUUGUCUUGUUUUACUUUUCCUUUUUUUAAUAGCCGAAAGUUGUUUGUUUGGCCAUAAUUCAACAAGAUUGACUUUUUUUGUUCAUCUGUUGUUCUUAGCCCCGUCUCGAUCUCAUCUGCAACAGAAGCCGCAGCAGCAGCAGCAGGAUCAGGCAGGAGAUCAAACUCUCCAAUCAAGGCCUCCAAUUCGAAUCUGAAAAGAUUGUCAUCAUCAUCUUUUCUCUCACUGCCUCACUAUCUGACCCUGCAGUGCAGCAGGGCAGACGCCUAACAAACUGCAAAACCACAAUCAACACUUUGAAGAACUCUUCAAAAUGAGAUCAUUUUAAUACACUCUACCACUUCAUAUCGAAAAGUGCACAUAUAAACAACAUGAAACAACAAAUAUGUCACAAUUUGAAGCAUGUAAAGGCAAGCAUACCUUGCCUGCAGAUGAUAUACUAUCGGAGGGAGGAACAGCCCUCCUUGCAAUAUAUACUUCUUGACUUUACAAAAAUUUGAAGGUCAACAUUGUAGAAUAACAAACAAGAGUAUAAAGCAUAGAAGGAAGCCUUGUUCAAUUCGACAAAGUAAGACUUUUCUGAAAUCUAAAUCACGACCUGUGAAUGUUAUGUUCAACAUCAUUGUAUACUCUCUCAAUAUAAAUUAUUGAGAUAAUUUAAAUUAUUUAUUCAUCUUAGUGUGUCUCUAUGCAUGCCAAACGAUAACAAACAUAAAAAUAAUAGCAGACACAUCAGAAAUACAAUUGAAGGCAUUUCUUUCAAAUGAUCAAUAUGACAGUCAAAUAUGGGCAGUGAGGAUUGUCAUGCUCUUAAAAAUGUGACAUACAUAAUAUCAGAAACAUCAACAACUAUUUAACUGAAAACCUACGAGACAAUAGCUUCAAAAACUAGUCCUACAUGAUGAAAAAAUCUACACCAAAAGAACUGUAAGUACACAGGAAACAGCAUAUGAGCUCCACAUCCUACCUCGUACUUAAAGAGCUGCACUUUGUAAAGAAGAAAAAAAGUGCUCCAAUUUUUCAUCCGGACAUCUCAGCAUCAAAUAUCCUAUAUCAAAUUUCUCAAAAUUUUUAGAAUCACGUCCAUCUUGUUGAGAAGAGAAAUUAAAGAACUCAUAGGGAUUCGACGUGAAAACGAAGUGCUGGCUGUCGACUAUCUGACGCCCCCCCACCCCCCUCCUCCUUUAUCCGGGCUUGGGACCGGCAAUGUAAGACAAACUUACACAGGCGGAGUUAGAGAAAUUAAAGAACUGUAAAGAGAAAAUCAGUUAUAGAAAAGAUGUCAAGACGGAGAGAACCGUAAAAGCAAAGCAGUCCAAAAACACAACUGAGGGCAACAGCAAGAAACUUGCAUUGCUGGUCCAAAACAGAACGUGACACACCUGAUAUAGACUACGGUAUGAAUACUAAAAAUUAAAGAGACAAAACUUACAUUCCAAAACAAAAAAAUCCAUAGAAACAGUGGCAAGAAACAUGAUAAUUGUCUCAUCAACAAAACUAUCAACACAUUCAAAUUCACACUGAACACUUAACGCACCAUCUUACCAUCAAAUUCAAGCAUAAUACACAGAACAUGCACACACUAACAAGCCACACAUGCAGAGAGAGUAAUUCAAAGGAAAAGGACAUUAAUUUGAUUUUAAAAUUGGGCACAGUAAUUGAAAUCAUCAACCUCGAUACCCUUUGUCAAUAGAAAAAAGUAUGAAACUUGGGUAGAAAAGAAAUGUAUUUAUAAGCAUUCAGUGCAUUAAAAUUGGCAACAAUCCUAGAAGCACAUAUAUACACAUGAUUGGGUGAAAAGGCAGGCAAUGGAUCAGUAUGGCAGAGAAGAAGGCCCAGGGAAACACCUAUACGAAAUUUCUUAAUUAACUAAUGAACCAAAAGAUAUCAAAGCAUAUAUACUAAGAACGGAAAUAAAAUCUAUCCUGAUCAUAACUGUGCUUCUAUAUGCACGCCAUGGAAAUUAGACAGCUGCCGUCACCUCUACGUCCCUCUAUUGAUCAUUCACAGAAUCGCUCAUCCACAAACAGUCUGUCCAGUAAUUGAACCCAUCUAACGAUUGGCUGAAUUCAUCAAUUUGAGGCCACUCCCGGGGCAAUUUACCUUCAAGCGUUGUCAACCAUUCUUUAAUGUCUCCACGCACUGCUUCACCAUCUAAAGGAUAUUCCUCGCCGCCCAAGAAUAUCGGAGAAGAAGGAACAUCACUCAUCAGUGGCACAUAUUCAUGAUCUGAAAUAUGAGUGGGAAUGGGCAUCACAUUUCCGUUAAUGUAGCUUAUGCACCCCUGGUUGUGAUUGCUAGUGUCACCGUCCAAGCAUAUGGGAUAAGAAGGACCAUCACUCAUCAAUAUCACACUAUCCUGAUCAGAGAAAUCAGUCGGCUUUGCAUUGCCGUUAAUGUUGGUUAUGCACUCCUGAACCUGAUACCUAGUGUCAGUAAUCAUAUUGCUUUCAGUUCCAACAAAAGGCACAACAGCAGGGGUAUUGGUGAUCACAUUCACAUUAGAAUGUUUUUGUGAACCCGGUUCUUUUCUUGCUCUCUUUCUCUUAAUCAGAGGCUUCUCCUUCGAUACUUCUUUUCUUGCCCUCUUAAUCGGUGGCUUUUCAUUGAAGUCAUGAGUUGGACUUGAGGAAUUCAUCUUGUUUCCGCACCUAGACCUCGGAUUCCUUUUAAGUCGGGAAAGAACAACCUUUGGGCCAGCAACUACAUUAGGAAGAAGACUGUACUCUUCUAACAGCCAGCCGCCAUUGUUGUUAGAACCCUUGUUGUUAUACCUGAAAUGCCCUUUAUCCCCGAUUGGAAUUCCGUCCAAACCUAAAACUUUGUCGGAGGAUGUUUCGCUCCAAGUGCCUCCGGCUUCGAUCUGGCGUUUGCUGCGGCUGUCGCUUCUAGAACGGAGCUCACAGAAGAAGAACAAGUCCUGAUCGAGUAGGGAAUUUCCACCGAAUUGCUCCCAAACCACCCAGGGUGGUGUUUGUCCAAAGAGAUUGAACUCGUGAACAAACGGGUUGCCCAAGGGCUUUCCGGAGAGGGCUCUAUCGCGAAGAUAGGAACUGACCAAUUCUUGAUCAGUAGGAUGAAACCGAAAACCCAAUGGCAUACCGUAAUAACCCACCUCCAUUGUUAAACGCUAUUUCAAUUCAAUGCAAUUCAAAACAAAACAAAUGGAGCAGCAAAAACCCUAAAUUUUUAUUGGGCACAAAAUAAAGAAGAGAAAAUAAGCGAGAAAUUAAAGAGAAGAAAAAGGGAAACCUGGAAGCCGAUUUCGCUCGCUCGCCGAGGAGAGCAGCUCGUCGACGUCUCCUCAAUCGCUGUCUUCGUCCCCAAACAAGAGCAACUGAAGAGGAAUCGAUUUCAAGUAUUCUGUAAUUCAAUUCAACCGGAGACUGCUGGAGCACUGAAUUCUAAUCCUGGUUCAAAUUCGAACGCGCAGAGAGAGCGAGAGAGAAAGAUCUUGAGAGAGAGAUCUAGUGAGAGAGAGGGAGUGGAUUUGAAAUUUCAAUGGAAGAAAAUAUGACCGUUUGGUUUGGGAAUUGGAUGUUAACGUUGCAAACUUGCAAGGCUCACCGCUUAAGCGCGUUUUAAUCACGUGGCAUUUUCAUAUCUACAAAACCCUAAAAUAACGCAGGAAAAAAAAAUCGAUUGGGCUGGGUUCCCUAUUUUACUUCUUGGCCCAUUUUUUAUCCUGCCGCGUCCAGUUCUUUUGCUUAUCGUACGAGGAUCCUCUUCGGAUCCUCUUUGUAAGGAUGUUGGGAUCUUCAAAUCAUGUUCGUUUAUCGUACAUCAUGCGAUCAGUUUUUAUCAGAUAUUAUUCAUAUUUAAUUUUAAAUAAAAUUAUUUAAAAUAAUUUAUAGCCGUAUGAUAUAUGAUGAACGGACACGAUUUAUGGAUUCCCAGAAUCCACACUCUUGGUUAUUAGGCAUUUUAUUGUCAAUUUUUUUAGAUUUUUAUAUUAGAUUAAUGAACCCAAAUAUUUAAGGGUGAAUGUUGGAUUGCAAGUUUUGAUUUCGACACGAAAAAGAUUUAUAUCUUAUUUUUAUUCACAUAGCAUUUCAUGAUUGACACGAGAAGCCAUAGUCACGGUAUACUAAUGUCAUAGAAAUUGCUCAACUUGGAUAUGUUUUACAAUAGGAAAUCGUGACUAUGACUUAGACAUGGGAAAUCAUAGGAAAUCACGAUUUUUUUAAUUUCCUAUGUCCAAGCCACAGUCACGAUUUCCUAUGAUUGACAUGAUAAGUCAUAGUCACGAUGUUCACAUAGAUGUUCACAUAGCGUUCAUAUUCAUUUUUUAUAGGGGUAACAAGAUUUUCUCCCAACUCUAAUACACCUUUAUGUUCUUCCUGUCCAAAACUAUGUUGGAGAAGAUUUCAUAAGAAACACGUCUGGAAUCAGUCAUUAGCAGAUUGAUUAUUCAUGAAACGAAACAGAGGUCGAAACAAAUAGUGAUAAACUGAGUACUACUGUUCACGACACGAUAACGUCUUAAAAUUGAAACGAAAACUCAGAGUGUGCUGAAAGAAAUGACGAAAACAAAAGUAAGUGCAAUCAGAACUAUUGGGAACUUCAUGUACAUUCAUAUGUAUAUUGUCUACAGAUUUCCUCAAGAUUGACAACAAUACAGAGUAAGACCACCAACUAGACGAAAUAACAGACUGAAAACUAUUCUAUCCACGACAACAACAACAACAAAGUCUUUUCUCACUAAGUGGGGUCGGCUAUAUGAAUCCUAGAACGCCAUUGCGCUUGUUUCUAUGUCACAUCUUCCGUGUAAAUAAAAAGACUGAAAACUAAUAAACUAACUAUGAUUAAACCAGAAGUCGGAAAGAAAAAGCUGAAAGGUAACCGUGCUCAUCUGAAUUCUUGAACCCUACUACUAGUAUAAAAACAAGAGCUGACGCUAAUAGCUUGACAACUUGAUUCACGCAAGGCGUGUAUACUCCGUGUAAAGUCCUCUUCCUCCUGCUCCGCUUCUAGAUGAUGAUGAUACUGAGCAAGCAAAUCAAGAGAACAUGGAGAACCGAGGCCCGUGGCCUUCCAAUGUUUCCAACCACAACUGGAAAAAUAAUGAUUUGAAAGGGAAGGAACGGGAUGAUGGUGAUGAGCAGAGUAAUGUGAUCAGGUUCAGUAGCUUGAUGUAUAUGAUCUUGAUUUGUGUCUUCAUCAUCCUCUCCUCCAAUAUGAUUAAAGAAUUCAGUGAUGAAGUCCUCCUCAUCAUCCAACUCUCUUUCAUCCGUGGUUCUUGGCCGCUCCUCAAUCUCGUGAUGAUGAUGACGGAGAUGAGUAGUUAGCUAAGGUACGACAGCAGCCUCGUCUGCAGCAGAGGCCGCAACAGCAGAAUCAGGCAAAAGCUCAAACUCGUCAAUUAAGGAUCCUAACAGAUCAUCAUCCCAGCAAUCAUAUGCUUCGGUGGUGCUGCUUGAGGACCCCUAAUCGAGUCCUCCAUUAUCUGAAUCAUGAAUCCUCUGCCUUUUGACCGUAUCACCCAAAACUGUAACGGCAUCAUCAGAAUCGGAAUAGGAAUCAGGGAAACACAGACGCUUGAGAGAAGACACAGUGGGCCUCAAAUCUUGACCCCCCAUCUCCAAUUUCUUCACGAAACACAACACAAACAGAAGAAAGCAGGGGGCUUUCUGCUAAAACCAAAACCCUAAGUGGGUAAUGUGGAAGAAGAAAAAGCAACACUUUCCAAACACAAGGGCUAAUAACGAAGAUCAGCUCAGAGUGCGACUGAAUUGAUUAUACGGGAUUUGGGAACUAGGGUUUCUUGUUACAGUGCUAGACAGACAGAAAUUAAAGAUACCGAGAAAUAAAACAGAAGAAAAGGCAAGAACUGAACCUGGAACUGGGAAAGUUGUCGAUUUUCUUCUCAAAGAAGAGGAUGCAUUCGUCCCCAACUUCCAAUUUCAACAAACAGAGAGAGAUCAAGAUUUCCCAUGAUUGACACGAAAAGCUAUAGUCAUGAUGUUCACAUAGCGUUGCAUAUGCAUUUUCAUUGGCGAAUGAGAAGUGAGAUAUUUAUGUCAUAUCCGCAGCUUCACUGAGGAAACCAUUGUCGGAUAGCUUCACUAACCACAGCUAGUGUCGGUGUGUGAUGUUAUAUAUUUCUUCACUGGCGUAACCCGGAGUCGUAUAGCUUCACCUUCGGGUGAUGGGGCCUACCAUGUUUCUUCAUUGACGUAACCCAAUGUCGUACAGCUUUACCUUCGGGUGUGUGACUAUGAUAGUCCUAGAUAGUACAAUAUUGAUGAGAUUUAUGGAUUUACCUUCGGGCGAUGAUUGCACCGUUAUUGAGCAUGGUUUUACCCAUACUUGUUUUACAAAUGAUUUCAUAGCAUGAUAGAAUUUUCAGAAAACUAACUAUAUGUAGUAUUAUAUACAUUUUCAAAACAGGAGGUUAGUAUGUUCAGUAAGAAAUCGGUUUUCGUAUUAUUAGUUUAUUAUUAUAAACUUUGGUCCACUCACAUUUUUGGUUUUACGUCCCCUUAGGAGUGAGAAUGAGAAUCGAGGCAUACAAUCCCGACCUCAGGAUAUUUCUGCAUAGGUAUCUUCAAGCCCUCUCGGUGUAGGAUCCACUUUCUUGGUAAUCCCAUUUAUUUCAUAAUGAUUCUUUCAUAUUAUUCUUGAUUAGUUUUAUGUUCUGAACAUGAUUCUGCAUGGAUGUAUUCCUUUGUAAUUACUUAUUUUAGUUGUCGGCCAGCACAUGCCUAUCAUGGUAUUUAAGGAUGUCGAGAUCGGAACUUGUCAGAGAGAGAGAGAGAGAGAGAGUACCACAGAGUACUUUGCAGAUAUCUUCACCAUGGAAAAUGAGAUGGACCAAUGCUUAAACCGAAACACAAAAUAACCAUCAAACGUUAUAAUUCUAAAAGGCAAAAGUACAAGGCAAACAAUUACAUUAAAUUAAUAUUUAGCAGAAUCAGAUUAACAAAUAAUGUAUACAAAUUCCUUUCCCUAGCUUAUUGCACAGAGUCGUCUCUCUUCUUAUGAGAAGCAAUAUAAGCAACUGAAGGGCGAAUCCAAGUGGGGAAAUUGAAUUCCUAAAAGGGAUCGAUUGGAAGAAAAUGGCUAGAAAAAUUCGGUAUAGAAAACGAAAAGAGAAUUCGAGAGAUUUCUAGGAAACAAAUAGAAAACGAAGAGCGGAAAGGAUGACGAUGACGCAGAACCUACCUCUUCCUUCUUCAAUCUGUGUGUGGUUUCCUUUCACUAAAUCUCGCACCCACCGACAACAACCCAUCUCGGUCUGAUCCAAACACCAAUGCCAACCACCCACUUCCAAACUUUAAAUGAAUAAAAGUACCUAUCUCAAUCUGUGUGUAAUUUGCCGUGUUAAACCCAAGCCCAGCUUACACCCCACAACCCACUUCCAGCCCAAAUGCAUUUCUUGGAGGAACAUGGGUCCGACCGUAGUAUCAAAUCUUGGAGUUCCCACAGGAGAGACUGCACCCCGUUUUCGUGUGUGCCAUACGAUUACAUGCCUCAACCCACACGCCUGACGUCCACGACGGAUAUUAUAUGCGUCAACUCCACGCUUGACGGGAAGACUAGACCGGGCCAGUCAACAAUGGCACCAUACAGCUCUUGAUUCAGUUGAAAAUCCUUUCAGAAAUUCCAAGCGUAAAGAAAGGAUUAGAAACUCUGCACCUCCAAAGUUGUUACUAGCUCCCAUAUUUAUUUCUGACGCAUACAAACUGGCGAAAAAACAUAUCAUACUGCAACUCUAAACCAUGACAUUUCUUUAUAUGCUCCUGCUGCUGUCCGCAUUCCCACUGAUCAAAACGACAUCUAUAUCUCCAAGAAAACAAGCAGAAUCGCUCGUCAAAUGGAAAGACGGCUUAUCUUCUUCACCAUCAUCAUCAGCAACACCUUGGCUACUCAAUUCAUGGUCCCUCACCAACCUCAACAACCUCUGCAACUGGACUGCCAUUUCCUGCUCCAAAACCAGAACAGUCUCCAAAAUAGACCUCUCCAAUAUGCACAUUAUCGGAUCACUGUCCCUUUUCGACUUUCCAUUAUUUCCAAAUCUCACCCACUUCAAUCUAAAUGGCAACAGUUUCGGAGGGCGUAUACCGUAUGCCAUUGGAAAUCUCUCCAGGCUCAUAUCUUUGGACUUGGGCAACAACUUUUUUGAUCAACAAAUUCCAUCUGAGAUUGACCAGGUAACAGAGCUUCAGUAUCUAAAUCUCCGCGAAAACAGUCUCUCUGGUACCAUCCCUCAUCAACUGAGCAAUCUCCAAAAGGUAUGGUACAUGGACCUUGGAUUAAACAAUUUUAACUAUACUGAUCAAGAUUGGUCAGAAUUUGCAGGCAUGCCUUCAUUGACCUAC
RNAcentral lists this long non-coding RNA (19917 nucleotides) under Malus domestica (apple). RNAcentral describes it as "long non-coding RNA (MDOM_LNC018745)". Lineage: Eukaryota; Viridiplantae; Streptophyta; Magnoliopsida; Rosales; Rosaceae. The record is from RNAcentral.